CCUACGGGAGGCAGCAGUGAGGAAUAUUGGUCAAUGGGCGCAAGCCUGAACCAGCCAAGUCGCGUGAGGGAUGACGGUCCUAUGGAUUGUAAACCUCUUUUGUCGGGGAGCAAGGCCCGCCACGCGUGGCGGGCAGGAAAGUACCCGCAGAAAAAGCAUCGGCUAACUCCGUCCCAGAAGCCGCGGUAAUACGGAGGAUGCGAGCGUUAUCCGGAUUUAUUGGGUUUAAGGGGUGCGUAGGCGGAAGGUUAAGUCAGCGGUCAAAUGCCGGUGCCCAACACCGGCCUGCCGUUGAAACUGGUCGGCUGGAGUGAGCGAGAAGUAUGCGGAAUGCGUGGUGUAGCGGUGAAAUGCAUAGAGAUCACGCAGAACUCCGAUUGCGAAGGCAGCAUACCGGCGCUCAACUGACGCUGAGGCACGAAAGCGUGGGGAGCGAACAGGAUUAGAUACCCGAGUAGUC
RNAcentral lists this ribosomal RNA (460 nucleotides) under uncultured bacterium. Its description in RNAcentral is "partial 16S ribosomal RNA". It matches the Rfam family "Bacterial small subunit ribosomal RNA", at positions 338 to 795 of the family's 1533-position model. The record is from RNAcentral.